UUUUAAGUAAUUUUUAUACCCAAUAUGGGGCUCAAACUCACAACCCCAAGAUCAAGAGUCACAUGCUCCACUGGCUGAGACAGCUGGGUGCCCCUACUUGACUUAUUUUGAGAAU
Leopardus geoffroyi (Geoffroy's cat) is the source of this 115-nucleotide long non-coding RNA. RefSeq lists it as uncharacterized. The transcript is spliced from 3 exons. The record is from RefSeq and is a predicted model, not a curated record. Lineage: Eukaryota; Metazoa; Chordata; Mammalia; Carnivora; Felidae.